GCGGGGCGUGGCUGGGGUGGAGCUACGGUGGAGGCGGGCGGAGCUGGCAAGGCCGGAAUGUUGGACCUUGGGAACCGCGCGGGGCUUAGCAAAGGUGUGCCAGUGGCGCAGACCAGGCAGUGCCCUUUAUAAGCGUCCAGUCCGCGCCGCACUCGUAGGCAACAAAGUGGCAGCCCCAGGGUCCUCAGCGACCUGAGGUGACCCUUAAAAUGGACCCCGGAGAGCACGGAGGCGGGAAGAGGGUGGUACCCGCAGGUUGAAUCCCGCACCUCCGGGCUGAACGCCCAGGCACCCUGGGAUGGCCAGUGGGGUCCUGAGGGACGGACUUUAUAUGAACGUAUUUUGCAGAAAGAAACAUUUCAACAGAAAACCCUGUGGAAAUUGAGACAAGUUAUCUUCUCAAAGUCCUGAACUCCCAUUCCUACUUCAGAAGGAACUCCUCUGUUCACAGCAGCUAAAGCUAGCCCCAAAUCCAGUUCCUUCCCAAGGAAAUUCUGUUUGGAUGUUGGAUGCACACCUUUCCAAGCAUUGUGUUCUUCAAAUGGAGAUAUCAGGUGGAGGAGCCCCUACUGCUGAGAGGAGAGCCCCUCACCCUGCCCCCAAGCCUCAUCUGCCAUCUUCUCCAGCUGCCUCCAGGCCACCAGGAAGAGAGCUACACUGUCGGAACAGUGCAGAUAAAUCAGCAAACACAUGGGUGAGAGAGGAAGGCUGUGAAACAAGAAAAUGAAUAAAAUUCCAAUCAAAGGAAGAAAUAAGGCAGCAAAACCACGUCGAAGUUAUCCCUGUAUAGUGCCGAGUGUGACAGCAUUAAUGAGUGAGAAAGCACGGGCUCUGAAAAUUCCCUCUGCAGCCCACCUCCCACCUGCCAGAGGCCUCAGGCACACCAGCCACUCUGCACAGACGACACUUCCACCCCCUCCCAUGUCUGUGGCCCUACGUCCCAGCUCCUUUCAUAGCCAAGAGCAAGCCGCGUAGUGCUACUCUGGCUGCCUAGCGAUGUUUUUCUGUCCCAUGGGACUCACAACAGGAGAAAUGGUUGUGUGCAAAGGAGUGACAGGGGAAAGGAGCAACCGCAUCCCUCCCUGGGAGGGGUCCAAGACCUGGACCGCAGUAGCAGCUGACACAUGGCAGGGAAGCCAGCAGAGGAAGAGAAAUACUUAGCAAGAUGUCCUUGGAACCACAGUAGAGGGGACGGCCAUCUUGCCAGCGCAACCCAAGGAAAAGCCCCGAGUCCCGUGCUGGAACGAAUUGGAGGUCAACCAAUCACCGAGUGACAGCACAACCUGACGCGAAAAAGGCCCACGGGACCUAAACCCUGAACCGCUGCAGCUUAAAAACCCCAACCCACCACACCCGGGCGCGACUUCCCUGACUCCUCUCUCUCUCUCUGAGUCAUGGAACCUCGCCCGAGACCCUUGUUCCCAAUAAAGCCUUUGACUGCUAAAA
This is a long non-coding RNA of Herpailurus yagouaroundi (jaguarundi), 1446 nucleotides long. RefSeq lists it as uncharacterized. The record is from RefSeq and is a predicted model, not a curated record. The transcript is spliced from 6 exons. Lineage: Eukaryota; Metazoa; Chordata; Mammalia; Carnivora; Felidae.